UUCCUGCUCAAAGUUUACUUUCACUUUGCUGAACUUCGUGGAGUGGAGUUUGCUGUUGGUGUGCGUGUGUGUGAAAAAAACUUCUCUCCACUUAAGUCAGUGUGUAAUGUUUUCCGACGAGCCCAAGUGUGUCCACCAGUAUUUUACCUCUGUGCGUCUGAUCAGAGACCGGGAAUCAGACUAAACACACUGAAUGUGUCCUGAGCUUGAACCUCUGAGUUCCCGGUGUUUAUAUUACAGGGACAGCAGCGGAAUUUGUAAAUGAAUAUUUUCUGUAGAUGUGUGUUAGAUAUAGAUUCAAUAUGUCAGUCUUUAAAAUACUGCGUCACAAACUGCUGGCUCCACUCCAACAGGAAGAAGUGUUACAAAACACACAAAAGUUAUUGUGAAAUGUCCUGUUAGUGUUCAGUUUUGUUAUAAAAUCGGCAUUAAUCUAAAUCAGUCUAGCCUCUGACAUACACCAUAAAUACAAUAAUGAAUAAAACAUGAAAUAUAAACUGAAACAAGCAAACUAACUGAAACUAAAUUGAAUUAAAAACACAAAGUGAAAAAGAAAUACAAGUAAAAGCUAAUUAGACAUUAAAAAAAAAAAAACUAUAACUGCUGGCUGUGGAUAUGUGUCAGGUGGGGGUUUCAGCCACCACAGAUGUCUUCCUUCAUUUGUCUGUUAGUGACUGAGAUCAUUUAAAUAUGCGUAUGUACCUGCCACAGUGUUAAUUUAAAGUUCUCACCCUCGAGGUCUUUCUAUUGUACUCACUUUUGUUUCUAGCGGUCUAGGCAAUAAUGGCUGUGUUAUACAAGCUGUACACUGACUACUUUACAUCGUAUCAAAGUGUCAUAUCUUCAAUGUUGUCUCAUGAAACAAUAUAAUAAAAUAUUUACAAACAUGUGAGGGGUGUACUCACUUUGGUGACAUACUGUACAUGAGGGAAAAGUUGUUAGUGGAAUUCUUCAUUCAUGAGAUUUCAGGAUUUAGUAAAAGUGACACGUGUCAGCUCCAUGGCUGUAAACUGAUCUGAUCUGUUCAUCAGUUGAAUCCAGAGUGAUUUUCCUGUCUCCAUUAGUCUGUGGAGUAGGUGGAAAGGAGCUGCUGCACCACAGUAACUGCUGUCAGACUGACACAUCUGUUUGACCAUAACCAGUUAUAGUGUCAGCAACUGUUGGAGGUUUAGGAUCUUUAUAAUUACAGUGCAGGUAUAUAUAUUUGUUGUGGGCAGUCUGAGGUACACCUGUGCACUACUCAUGAUGUCAGAUCAGCAUCCUGAUGUGGCACACCUGUGAGGUGGGAUGGAUUAUCUCAAUAUGGCAGAUGUGCCCACUACCACACAUUUGGAC
This is a long non-coding RNA of Astatotilapia calliptera (eastern happy), 1335 nucleotides long. Lineage: Eukaryota; Metazoa; Chordata; Actinopteri; Cichliformes; Cichlidae. The record is from Ensembl.